RNAcentral lists this long non-coding RNA (865 nucleotides) under Salvia miltiorrhiza (redroot sage). Its description in RNAcentral is "long non-coding RNA (SMIL_LNC010798)". The record is from RNAcentral. Lineage: Eukaryota; Viridiplantae; Streptophyta; Magnoliopsida; Lamiales; Lamiaceae.
AGACAACAGUUUUAUUUUGGUUGUGUAUUGAGCGCUAUAUACACAAGUUGUAGAAUUUUAAUUUCUCUAAAGCCCUAAUUCUCGUUCUCUCUCCUUUUCGCACGCACGACUCUGAUAUCCCUCAGCCACCUUCCCCACGACACCCACCGGCGUCCAAGCCCUAGCUACCGGCGUCCAAGCCCCAGCCACCGUCGCCCCAUGCCACCCACCGCCGUCAAGCCUCAUCCUUCGUCGCCCAUGCUACCCCCACUGUCCAGUGAGUGGCGGAAGCCCUCGCCACUCACCGGAUCUAUUCUCGUCGCUUCUUGCUCAUCGCUGGAGAUUCCCGCCCUCGGUCGCCUAUUUCUUUGCCUCAUCGCCGAUUCUCGCCCUCGGCUGCCUAUUUCUUUGCUUCGUCGCCGAUUCCUGCCGUCGGCCGCCGUAUUCCCCUGAGAUUGCGUUAGAUAACAGUUGGAGCCAUAUCCAAGUCGGAGAUGCCAGUCGAAACUUGAUUCCUUCAAGACCAAACUAGACCGGAGCUUUUUGUGUCAAUUCGGUGGUGGAUGAGUUAGAACUCACGCCUCUCCACCAAACGAAAUCAAAACUAGGUAAUUAAAUUUCUUUUUCUUUUUUUUGGUUUUGAUUGUUUACGAAAGAGUGAUGAAGUUAAAGAUUUCCUUCAGUUAGGCUUGCUUUUUUUGAUUUUGAUUGUUUGGUGCUCAAUUCAGUUAGGCAUUGUUGUAAUUGUUGAAUUAGAAAUAAAUGUUUGAUCUAUGCGUGUUGCCAAGAUUGGGAUUAUUUCCCGGUGAAUCUACCAGUUAGGCAGCUUCACUUUUGUGUUGUGAGAAUCUACCAAUUAUGCUUCACUUUCUUUUAUCUUUUAUUU